UGUAAGCGUAUACCAAAAUUGUUGCAGUUAAAACGCUCGUAGUCGGAAUUUGGCAGUUCCGGAUGUGUGCACGUCGUGUGCGCACUUCGCGGGGAUUGCUUUGGUGGUCUUGCGUAGGAUGAGGCACUUUUAUUAGUGAACGUCCUCACGCAACCACUUUUUACUGUGAGAAAAUCAGAGUGCUCAAAGCAGGCAUUUGCCGUGAAUGUAUUAGCAUGGAAUAAUAGAAUAGGACUUGGUUCUAUUUUGUUGGUUUGUUGGGACUGAGUAAUGAUUAAGAGGGACAGUUGGGGGCAUUUGUAUUUCGGUGCUAGAGGUGAAAUUCUUAGAUUACCGAAAGACAAACUGCUGCGAAAGCGUCUGCCAAGGAUGUUUUCAUUGA
This 382-nucleotide ribosomal RNA is filed under the name uncultured eukaryote. RNAcentral's name for it is "partial 18S ribosomal RNA". It matches the Rfam family "Eukaryotic small subunit ribosomal RNA", at positions 592 to 976 of the family's 1831-position model. The record is from RNAcentral.